AUUUAACUUGUGUGUGUUCCAGGUAUCAUUAUAAUCACAGACGGAGUGACUAGUGUUCCGGAUGUAGCUGUGUGUGAAACACUGCUGAACCAGCUCAGGAGUGGAACCAUUGCCUGCUCCUUUGUGCAGGUUGGUGGUGCGUACUCCUACGACUGCAGCUUUGGCUACAUCCCCAAUGUAGAGCUGAUGAAGUUCAUCUCAUUAGCUACAUUUGGUUCAUACCUGCCCAGCUGUCCUGAAGUGGACGUGAACAACCAGGAGAUGAAUGUGUACCACAAGGCCUUCUUAACCUACUCCUUCCUUAAGACCCCGGAGUCUAUGAACUCAGAGUACUUCUGUGUUUCCCAGCACAAACUGUUCAAUGAGCACCUGGUGUCAGCCAGCGGUAACCCCGCCCUGGUCAUGAGGAGGAAGAAGCACACAGAGAAGGAAGUCCAUGCCCAUUUAAUCAGCGUGGUGUCUGUGCGA
Molecule: long non-coding RNA, 468 nt
Organism: Micropterus salmoides (largemouth bass)
Lineage: Eukaryota; Metazoa; Chordata; Actinopteri; Centrarchiformes; Centrarchidae
Exons: 3
Source: RefSeq, a predicted model, not a curated record